RNAcentral lists this microRNA (19 nucleotides) under Corchorus olitorius. Its description in RNAcentral is "tca-miR-3885-". Lineage: Eukaryota; Viridiplantae; Streptophyta; Magnoliopsida; Malvales; Malvaceae. The record is from RNAcentral.
ACGGCGGCGGCGGCAGCCG